Long non-coding RNA from Macaca mulatta (Rhesus monkey), 454 nucleotides. RefSeq lists it as uncharacterized. The record is from RefSeq and is a predicted model, not a curated record. Lineage: Eukaryota; Metazoa; Chordata; Mammalia; Primates; Cercopithecidae.
UGCUAGGGAAGACUGUGGCCUCAGCUCCAAAGCACAAUUGGGUCCUGAAGGACCUAAUGACUAGAAACUUCCAGCUGACUGCACUCUGCAACUGACUGAUUUGAACAUCUAUAGAAUAUUACAUCUCUUUGACCUGAAGGACUUGCUUUAGCAUUUCUUGUACUACAAGUCUGAUGGAGAUGGCACAUUGCAUAAAGAAACGCGAACCCAGCAGCACCCCUGCCAGCGGCAAUUCUGAGCGCUCAUUUCCGUGUUGCCAAGACAUUACAUGGGAAGGCAUGUGCGUUUAAGGGCAUCCAAUUGUUUCUGUACCAGAACAGCAGCAACAUCCUGGGCAGGCCUUUCCUCUGGAGUUCAUGUGCAGGUCGUACUGAUGCACAACACGACCUAAAGGGACCAUGGAGGAGGAAGGGACCCUAAAUCCAGGCCAAAUGGGAGCAGGGUUGUCCUCAGG